UACUUGGAUGUUGGGUAAAACGGAACGUGU
Molecule: non-coding RNA, 30 nt
Filed under: Rattus norvegicus (Norway rat)
Lineage: Eukaryota; Metazoa; Chordata; Mammalia; Rodentia; Muridae
Source: RNAcentral